This 72-nucleotide transfer RNA is filed under the name Cavia porcellus (domestic guinea pig). It matches the Rfam family "tRNA". Rfam says of the family: Transfer RNA (tRNA) molecules are approximately 80 nucleotides in length. Their secondary structure includes four short double-helical elements and three loops (D, anti-codon, and T loops). Lineage: Eukaryota; Metazoa; Chordata; Mammalia; Rodentia; Caviidae. The record is from Rfam by way of RNAcentral.
GGGAAUAUAGCUCAGUGGUAGAGCACUUGUUUCUUAUGUCCAAAGACCUGGGUUCAAUCUCCAGUACCACCA